AUGGUGGAUGACCUGUUUUAUGAGGGCAACACUGAUCACAGCGUCAGCUCUGAGGACGAAGACACACUUGUCAGGAGUUGUAGUAAUCUCAGCGUAAGCUUUGGAUAUCAUUGCAAUUCUUAUCAGAGUUUUCCUCUUGAAAAUGAUGAGCAUGACACCUCUCCCCAGAUGAGGUUUGAAACUAAUGCCAUGACGAAGUCACGAAAUGGCUCAUUUACUUGCUUAUCUGGUGCCGCAAUUAGUGCAAACUUCACACUGGCCAAUACAAAUAUAUGCAAGGGUCUUAUUGGGGAAGAAAUUUUACCAGAACUAGAUUCUCCAAAUUCUUUCAGAAAAAUCGUCUCUUCUCCAUCCAUGUCAAGGUUGGACUUGCUAUCCACCUCACAAGGCAGCCCUGCAUCAACUGAGAGCUCCAUAUUUGAAAUCAGUAAAAAUCUUUGGAGGUCCAGCGCUCCAACAACUGUAUCAUCCAAUUUUCUGACUGGUACCGAGGUAAAGAUGGCUGGUGGAGCUGCUGGAGAGGAUAGAGUCCAAGCUGUGUGCUCUGAGAAAAAUGGAUGGUUGAUUUGUGGAAUUUAUGAUGGAUUUAAUGGACGAGAUGCAGCUGAUUUUCUGGCAGUAACUCUAUAUGAUAACAUAGUAUAUUACCUAUACUUGUUAGAGUGCCGUAUCAAGCAACAAGAUGGCCUAUGCAGCUCAUCAGAGGACUCCCUUAAUGGUGUUAAAAGUGAGUUGACAUUAGCCAUGGAAAUUGCAGAGAAUGAAGAUGUAAAACUUUCUGAAAGUUUUCGAUCUGGUGUGCUGAAUUGCCUCACUUCUGCUGUUGAGCAAGCUGAGAAUGAUUUCUUAUGCAUGGUUGAACAAGAUAUGGAUGAUAGACCAGAUUUAGUUUCAGUUGGAUCUUGUGUCCUGGUUGUGCUUCUUCAGGGAACAGAUUUGUGCAUUCUAAAUCUUGGGGAUAGUAGAGCUGUGCUUGCUUCCAUGCCAUAUGCAGAAAUGGAUACAGUGAAAGCUACUCAAUUGACAGAGAUCCACUCACUUGAAAAUCCAUUGGAAUACCAAAAAUUAUUAGCUGACCAUCCUAAUGACUCUAAAGUUGUGAUGGGUAACAAAGUAAAAGGGAAGCUGAAGGUUACUCGUGCUUUUGGAGUUGGCUACCUUAAACAGAAAAAGUUCAAUGAUGCACUGAUGGGAAUUCUCCGAGUUCGUAAUUUGUGCAGCCCGCCUUACGUAUAUACAAAUCCACACACACUGAGUCACAAGGUUAUGGAAGACGAUCUGUUUGUUGUGCUUGGCAGUGAUGGCUUAUUUGAUUUCUUCAGUAACGAUGAAGUUGUUCAGUUGGUUUAUCAAUUUAUGCAUGAUAAUCCAACUGGCGAUCCUGCAAAAUAUCUCAUCGAGCAAGUUGUACAUAAAGCUGCCAAAGAAGCAGCUUUAACAGCUGAACAGCUUAUGAGGAUACCUGUUGGGAGCAGGAGAAAGUACCAUGACGACGUGACUGUCAUUGUUAUCAUCCUUGGGAACGCACGAAGGACGCUUUACAGGUCUGAAGAUAAAAUGGAAACCGGGAGAGGAUCUAUGAAAAAGACCAGUCUAGUGUGUUGGGUCCUGCUGAGUUUGCGGGAUGCAUUUGCUUAG
Molecule: ribosomal RNA, 1638 nt
Filed under: Triticum aestivum (bread wheat)
Lineage: Eukaryota; Viridiplantae; Streptophyta; Magnoliopsida; Poales; Poaceae
Description: partial small subunit ribosomal RNA
Source: RNAcentral